This 434-nucleotide ribosomal RNA is filed under the name uncultured Lachnospiraceae bacterium. Its description in RNAcentral is "partial 16S ribosomal RNA". It matches the Rfam family "Bacterial small subunit ribosomal RNA", at positions 341 to 792 of the family's 1533-position model. Lineage: Bacteria; Bacillati; Bacillota; Clostridia; Lachnospirales; Lachnospiraceae. The record is from RNAcentral.
ACGGGAGGCAGCAGUGGGGAAUAUUGGACAAUGGGGGAAACCCUGAUCCAGCGACGCCGCGUGAGUGAAGAAGUAUUUCGGUAUGUAAAGCUCUAUCAGCAGGGAAGAUAAUGACGGUACCUGACUAAGAAGCCCCGGCUAACUGCGUGCCAGCAGCCGCGGUAAUACGUAGGGGGCAAGCGUUAUCCGGAUUUACUGGGUGUAAGGGGAGCGUAGACGGCAUAGCAAGUCUGAAGUGAAAGGCAGGGGCUCAACCCCUGGACUGCUUUGGAAACUGUUAAGCUAGAGUGCAGGAGAGGUAAGUGGAAUUCCUAGUGUAGCGGUGAAAUGCGUAGAUAUUAGGAGGAACACCAGUGGCGAAGGCGGCUUACUGGACUGUAACUGACGUUGAGGCUCGAAAGCGUGGGGAGCAAACAGGAUUAGAUACCCUGGUA